RNAcentral lists this ribosomal RNA (496 nucleotides) under uncultured bacterium. RNAcentral describes it as "partial 16S ribosomal RNA". It matches the Rfam family "Bacterial small subunit ribosomal RNA", at positions 29 to 507 of the family's 1533-position model. The record is from RNAcentral.
AUGCACGCUGGUGGCGUGCCUAAUACAUGCAAGUCGAGCGAACGGACGAGAAGCUUGCUUCUCUGAUGUUAGCGGCGGACGGGUGAGUAACACGUGGAUAACCUACCUAUAAGACUGGGAUAACUUCGGGAAACCGGAGCUAAUACCGGAUAAUAUUUUGAACCGCAUGGUUCAAAAGUGAAAGACGGUCUUGCUGUCACUUAUAGAUGGAUCCGCGCUGCAUUAGCUAGUUGGUAAGGUAACGGCUUACCAAGGCAACGAUGCAUAGCCGACCUGAGAGGGUGAUCGGCCACACUGGAACUGAGACACGGUCCAGACUCCUACGGGAGGCAGCAGUAGGGAAUCUUCCGCAAUGGGCGAAAGCCUGACGGAGCAACGCCGCGUGAGUGAUGAAGGUCUUCGGAUCGUAAAACUCUGUUAUUAGGGAAGAACAUAUGUGUAAGUAACUGUGCACAUCUUGACGGUACCUAAUCAGAAAGCCACGGCUAACUACGUG